GAUGAACGCUGGCGGCGUGCCUAAUACAUGCAAGUCGAGCGAACAGACGAGAAGCUUGCUCCUCUGAUGUUAGCGGCGGACGGGUGAGUAACACGUGGAUAACCUACCUAUAAGACUGGGAUAACUUCGGGAAACCGGAGCUAAUACCGGAUAAUAUUUUGAACCGCAUGGUUCAAAAGUGAAAGACGGUCUUGCUGUCACUUAUAGAUGGAUCCGCGCUGCAUUAGCUAGUUGGUAAGGUAACGGCUUACCAAGGAAACGAUGCGUAGCCGACCUGAGAGGGUGAUCGGCCACACUGGAACUGAGACACGGUCCAGACUCCUACGGGAGGCAGCAGUAGGGAAUCUUCCGCAAUGGGCGAAAGCCUGACGGAGCAACGCCGCGUGAGUGAUGAAGGUCUUCGGAUCGUAAAACUCUGUUAUUAGGGAAGAACAAAUGUGUAAGUAACUGUGCACGUCUUGACGGUACCUAAUCAGAAAGCCACGGCUAACUACGUG
Molecule: ribosomal RNA, 497 nt
Filed under: uncultured bacterium
Lineage: Bacteria
Description: partial 16S ribosomal RNA
Rfam family: Bacterial small subunit ribosomal RNA
Source: RNAcentral